CUCUGGGGUGCAGGGGAGAUUGGCCAAGUAUUUGGAAGAGGGCUGUGCUGAGAGUUGGUGAACAAACAGCCCCUCAGGCUCAGGAAAUUCCCAGCACUGAAAGCAGUUGAAGGCUAUAGGACUGUUUCAGAGGAGAUAUCGUAUCUUUGCCUUGUUUUUCCUCUUCCCUUGAUGUUUGCCUGUGGCCUGUGGUGGAAACAGGAUGUUGGACUGAACAGGUUCUUCAUCUGAGGCAGGACACCUCUUACUCUGUAUUCACGGAGAAUCAUGCUGUAACUGAUGCUUAUACACCUGGAGCCACACAACAGCAAGCCUGUGACAUGGGGGUCUUUCAAACCAGAUUCAGUGUUCAUCUGUACCAGAAGUUCCUUACGAAGCAGGUGAUCUAUAUAAUCUCAGUUGAACUGGUAGAUAAUGGAGGAAACAUGUAAAGUGUUGAAUGCUUGAGCAACAGAUCUGAAAAGAACAGAGAUCACCACAAAGCUGACUGCACACUUUUGUUGUUGACUGGCAACCCAGAAAGAGAAAUCCUUUCUCUAUUUUACCAGGAAAAUCAUCUCUCUUCCAUGCACAAAGAGAAUGGGAAACUGUGGCAAAACAACAAAUAUGUGCUGUAACUGCAGCAGCGUGGCCUCUGACGAUUUGAUAUCUUCAAUACAAAGAAUAAAAACAUUGUUGCAAAGUAGGAAACUACCUAUUUUUUUUUUUUCUGAAACUAUGGUACUGGGAGCUUUUUCUUGCUCCACCAAUGGCUGGUGGAGGAGAUGCUAUGGAUAUAGGUUCGAAGACCUGUCUCAACUGUCAUUAAAUCAAACUUUUCAGCUUUUGGGAGGGGGGGCAUGUUUCCAAACACGCAGAGCUUUUCAUGUGUAGGGGUAUUCGCAUGUCACGUAAAAGGGAUGUGUGUACUGGCAGAUUUUUUCCUCCUCUCAAUAUUCCUAUCUGGUCAGUUAUUUAAUCUAUGCAAGAGCCUUUCCUGUAGCAACUUAGAAAUGUUAAGAAACUGCCUAAUGCUUUAGUCACUUUUUCUUUCUAUUAAGAGGAUCUCAGGUAUUUCUGUGACAGAAAAUCGGUACAUCAUCUGUUAUACUAAUCUCCAAGACAUGAGAUCUGGCUGUAUUGAUGGUGAAAGGCUGAGCAUACUGGAGAGAAGUAUAAAAUUCUGGUCUUCUUGAAGUAUUUAAGGAGAUUGAGACUGUAAGUGCUUUAAAAGACAUUAUUAAAAUUUCUGCUUUAUAUCAUUCAAUGUAUUAUGCAUGUUUUCUUUUUUAAG
Non-coding RNA from Phalacrocorax carbo (great cormorant), 1273 nucleotides. NCBI's taxonomy places the organism in Eukaryota, Metazoa, Chordata, Aves, Suliformes, Phalacrocoracidae. The record is from RefSeq and is a predicted model, not a curated record.